GCAGUUAAAAAGCUCGUAGUUGGAUUUCGGAACCGGCCGAUUGGUCCGUCCUCUGGAUCGUGUACUGAUCGGUCUGUUCUGCUUCGCGAAGACCGCGUGUGCCCUUAACUGGGUGGGCGCGGGAUUCGCGACGUUUACUUUGAAAAAAUUAGAGUGUUCAAAGCAGGCAGUCGCUUGAAUAUCUCAGCAUGGAAUAAUAGAAUAGGACUUUGGUCUUAUUUUGUUGGUUUCCGAGUCCGAAUGUAAUGAUUAAUAGGGACAGUUGGGGGCAUUCGUAUUUCAUUGUCAGAGGUGAAAUUCUGGGAU
This 306-nucleotide ribosomal RNA is filed under the name uncultured marine eukaryote. RNAcentral's name for it is "SSU rRNA". It matches the Rfam family "Eukaryotic small subunit ribosomal RNA", at positions 615 to 925 of the family's 1831-position model. The record is from RNAcentral.